CACGAGCGUAUAUUUAAGUUGUUGCGGUUAAAAAGUUCGUAGUCCAAACUGUGAUUCGGUUCGCUCGUGGUCCGCCAGAAUGGCGCGCACCCGAGCGACGUUUCAUUCUACCUCAUUGCGGCGGUCGUCGUUUAAUUACGAUGGCACGUACGUAUGGGGUCAUUUACUGUGAACAACUCAGAGAGUUCAAAUCAGGGCGUACGCCCGUUGAAUGUCAAAGCAUGGGAUAAUAGAAAAGGACUUUUCUCUUUUUUGUUGGUUUCUAAAGAGCGAAGUAAUGAUUAAAGCAACGGUCGGGGGCAUCCGUAUGGUGUCGUUAGAGGUGAAAUUCUAUGAUCGGCGCCAGACGAACAAAUGCGAAGGCAUUUGCCAAGGACGUUUGCGUUGAUCAAGAACGAAAGUAUGGGGAUCAAAGACGAUUAGAUACCAU
Molecule: ribosomal RNA, 430 nt
Filed under: uncultured eukaryote
Lineage: Eukaryota
Description: bacterial SSU rRNA
Rfam family: Eukaryotic small subunit ribosomal RNA
Source: RNAcentral